RNAcentral lists this long non-coding RNA (260 nucleotides) under Chelonoidis abingdonii (Abingdon island giant tortoise). Its description in RNAcentral is "lncRNA (ENSCABG00000018994.1)". Lineage: Eukaryota; Metazoa; Chordata; Testudines; Testudinidae. The record is from RNAcentral.
UGUUUUUGCCUCCUCCGGUACAUGCCAUGGCUGGGGAGAUAGUAUAUGCUGAUUUAAACCUUGCUGGGGCCAGGCUAUCACCUUCAUCUAAAGCUCACAGGAAUCUUCAAGAAUCCCCGCAGUGCCCACGCUGGCAUGGGGUCGUUCUGAAGGUCGGAUGCAUCACGGUCAUCAUCCUGCUGGUGAUGGUAGCAGUGCUGAGUGCUUGGGGUGGCUCCGGGUGCAAACUCUGCCCUGGGGACUGGAUGCUGCACAGGGAC